Molecule: transfer RNA, 80 nt
Filed under: Ictidomys tridecemlineatus (thirteen-lined ground squirrel)
Lineage: Eukaryota; Metazoa; Chordata; Mammalia; Rodentia; Sciuridae
Description: Spermophilus tridecemlineatus (thirteen-lined ground squirrel) tRNA
Rfam family: tRNA
About the family: Transfer RNA (tRNA) molecules are approximately 80 nucleotides in length. Their secondary structure includes four short double-helical elements and three loops (D, anti-codon, and T loops).
Source: Rfam by way of RNAcentral
GGAGUUGUGGCUCAGUGGUAGAGCGCUGGCCUAGCACAUGUGCACGUGUGAGGACCUGGGUUCAAUCCUCAGCAUCUCAU